UUUUUUAGUAUAUGUGUGUCCCAUGCAAUACUUAGGACAUACUUAUACUAAAAAA
MicroRNA precursor from Myotis lucifugus (little brown bat), 55 nucleotides. NCBI's taxonomy places the organism in Eukaryota, Metazoa, Chordata, Mammalia, Chiroptera, Vespertilionidae. The record is from Ensembl.